This 824-nucleotide long non-coding RNA is filed under the name Equus caballus (horse). RNAcentral's name for it is "lncRNA (ENSECAG00000056573.1)". Lineage: Eukaryota; Metazoa; Chordata; Mammalia; Perissodactyla; Equidae. The record is from RNAcentral.
GUUAGAGAUAAAGAGUACAUAAUGGAACAUCUAAUGUGCUCUUUUCCUCAUGGUAUUUUGAUGUCUACGAGAAAAGAAUUAUGAGAGACUGGCCAUUUAUCCUAGGAGUAAACCAGAUCUCUGUGGGUCAGCAGUCAGUGUGAGCAGUGGAGCACAUUCUCAGACUCAUGCAGCUGCCUCGGGAGUGACAGACACCUUUCCACUAUUCUGGGCCUUGUUCUGAGAGGAAGAAAAGCGGUUACCGUCUGUGAUGCUGGUGGCUUAAGAAGAAAAAAGAAAUCCUGCUCAUGCAGAGGAGUUAAGUGUUCUCCUUUGUUGCCUUAACACCUGCCAUGUCCUCGGAUCUCACCUUCUAAUCCAAGCAGUGCAUCAAGGGUUUCUUCCUGGCCUAUUUGAGCUUGAACGCUCUCUGGGCUCAGGUCACAUGAAGACAUUAUCAUCACCUCAUUGUUCAAAGCACCUGAUCGUAGAACCUGGCGGGUGAACAAUUGCUGAAUGACAAACGCCGAAUUUUGAUGACUCCCAUGUUCUCAGCUUCCUUGGAAACUCAGUGAAGCCACAUGGCUAAACUCAGGCCAAUAAGAUGUCAACAGAAUUGGGUGCUACCUUAGAAAGUGUCUUUUAAAGGGAUUGUUCACACAGUCCCUUGCUCCUCCCUUCAUUCUCCUGCCUGGAAUGCAGAUUUGAUGUGUGGAGUCCUAGCAGCCAUUUUGGAUCAUGAGUACAUGCACCGCUUUCUAGGGAUAGGAGAGCAAGGAGAUGAAAGGAGCCACCAUGUUACCUCGGGAUGCCUACCUCCUGACUUUUUUCACAUGAAUGAAGAA